This 253-nucleotide ribosomal RNA is filed under the name uncultured bacterium. RNAcentral's name for it is "partial 16S ribosomal RNA". It matches the Rfam family "Bacterial small subunit ribosomal RNA", at positions 524 to 776 of the family's 1533-position model. The record is from RNAcentral.
UACGUAGGGGGCAAGCGUUGUCCGGAUUUAUUGGGCGUAAAGAGCGUGUAGGCGGCCAAGCAGGUCAGCUGUGAAAACUCGAGGCUCAACCUCGAGACGUCGGUUGAAACCGCUUGGCUAGAGUCCGGAAGAGGAGAGUGGAAUUCCCGGUGUAGCGGUGAAAUGCGCAGAUAUCGGGAAGAACACCCGUGGCGAAAGCGGCUUCCUGGUCCAGCACCGACGUUCAGGCACGAAAGCGUGGGGAGCAAACAGG